CCUCUCGAUGUUGUCGCUCUGUGUUGGAUUAAAGUUGCUACAGAACGUGAGUCAGCUGAGACCUCCUUCCUUUGGGAGAGCAUGCCCCCACACUUCUUUAUAGCAAGUCUCUCACGUGUACAUACAUCUUUGAUGGCUUCACAGGCACUUUCCCACUUCUGAUACCAAUGUAACAAAUUUGGGGGUAGCUCCAACUGGGACUCGAACCCCGGUCCAGUGACUAGCAAGCCAACCUUAUCCAUUACACCAAAGAUCAGCAGGUGUUUCCCCGAGAUACAGAUCUAGGAUCAGCUUCCCCUCCCCAAACCUAACAAGGACCAUUAGCGGGGGGGAAUUCAAACCUGAUCCAAAGCCAGGGUCUAUUUGGGGAACUUGUCCCCUCCCCCACAACACGACACGUGGAUGCGGCUUCCUCAGUUCACCAUGCUCAUAAAGAAAACAGCAGUGUAUUUCAGCUGCAAGCCUGGGAAAGAACUGAGAAAACGUACUAAAGAGUCAAGACAGACACCAGAAAGAGGCCCAAGAAGACUUGGACGCAGGAACAGAGGACAGCGAGGGAUGUUCAGAACUCACUCAGUCCGCGGUGGUGUCCUCUUUUCAUGAACCUCAUCACACUGUGUAUCAGAGUCAACAUGUCAGAGACCAUCCUCCUCACAGUGAUGUCACUCAACAAAGACAUGGACGAAAGAUGGAUCGUAAUGAUGAGAGAAUCAAAAGAGCUUUAAGACGCCGCCCUUAUGUGUUGAAACCAGUUAGGGUGAACACCCCUGAUUCCGUGUUGUGGCCAACCGGCAAGGUGCACAGAAGGCCAAAGCCUUCUGGAAGGGUGACUCGGCUGAUAGAGAGAGAAUAUCAUGACGUGAUCUCAUCCUCCAGUUCUGAUGACUUUUCAAUCUACUCCUUCACUGACUGUGAAUCUGAGUGUGAUGAUGAGGAUCAUGAAAGGAGGACACCAAAGCUGAAAGUUGAGAAUGGAAAGAUGACAAAGCUUGAUGUGAGGGAUAUGGACGAGGAUGAUGAUCUGUCUCUCCACUCCUUCGAUGAGUCAGACUUCCUGAGCCCAGGGGAGGUCUCAGGUCCUGUUUCUGUCAAGAAUGGCCUCUCUCCUCUUGUAACCUCAGCACACCGGACACUGGCUGAAGCCCUACAGGCCCUGCCCUCUGCUGUAGGCUCUCCCUACCCAGUAAAUGUUCCAAGGCCUCGGCCUCUCAACCCUGUCAUUAUCGCUCCGCUCCAAACAGAGAACUUCCCAUACCGCCACAGCCCUCGCCUGGCUCCCAUCACCAAUGUGAGCGAGACCGGCAGGAAGCUGCUCCAGGAAAUGGCUGGAGUGGCCCCACAGGUUUCUUCAGUGGCUGCUGCCCAAACUGAGAUGUUCAAAGACAUAAUGGCCAACUAUUACUUCUACCACACACACACACGCACACACACACACACACACACACACACACACACACACACACACACACACACACACACACACACACACACACACACACACACACACACACACACACACACACACACACACACACACACACACACACACACAUAGAUUUUGAGUAUUGGUUAUUCCUACAACACACACAAACGUAAUUUCAGAGACAGGAACUAUGAUUAGCUAAAUACAUAUUUUGGUCUCAUUCUUAUAUUUUGAGACAUGCAGCAUUAUUUUUUUUAUUUUUUUAUGAUAUUGAUCCCUAUACAGCCUAUGAUAAUGAGUUGGAUUUACAUGCUUAGGCUUGGAAAUAUAGCCAGGAGAAGCAGGGUCAACACCUCUACUCAUGCCAUAAGUGCCUUGACAUCUUUAGUAACCACAGAGAGAUAAGACCUCUGUCUCCACAGUCUCAUGCAAAGGACAGCACCAACCUUAGGGCAGUGUCACUGGUAUUGGGGUCUUCGGUCUCCUUUGGCCAAAGUGAAGAGUUGAGGGCCCCUUACUGGUCUCCUUGCAAUAUCUGGUCUCCCACACAGAGAUGGAAAUCUACACCUGUUAAGACCUUGGAGGAUAUGGCUUCAGAUGAAAGACAGCAGAGAGAUGCAGAACGUAAAAGCUUCAAACACUGUGAUAUGCAAAUGUAGGACCAUUGUACACUGAAGUGAAGCAUGCAUCUGGUCUGAAGCAUGUCAAAAGAGUAGAAAUGAACUGGGACUGGAGGAAUACAUCACAUUUAAACUAAAUUAGCUUGUAUCUGAUUUAGCUCCACUCAUCUGUACUUGAAUUGUGCUGUUUGAAACGUGCGUUUCCAAUAAA
This is a long non-coding RNA of Oncorhynchus masou masou (cherry salmon), 2254 nucleotides long. RefSeq lists it as uncharacterized. The record is from RefSeq and is a predicted model, not a curated record. The transcript is spliced from 10 exons. Lineage: Eukaryota; Metazoa; Chordata; Actinopteri; Salmoniformes; Salmonidae.